Molecule: non-coding RNA, 589 nt
Organism: Physcomitrium patens
Lineage: Eukaryota; Viridiplantae; Streptophyta; Bryopsida; Funariales; Funariaceae
Source: RefSeq, a predicted model, not a curated record
CAAUUCCGGUUCAACCCAGCAGCUUAGGCAUAAUGGGUUCCCCUCAAAUCGCGUUCUAGUCUUUGUGCAAGCUACAAUCUAGUGAAGCUUCAUUUGUGAUUAAAGUGUUUGGCUAUGGUGUCACUUUGUUGUGAAGGAUUAGUCUGCAGGAGGUGGGGCGGCAUGUCGCACAGAAUGUGCGCUCGAUGAUCAUUCCUGAGAAGAAUGUGACAAUCUUCAUUUAUGAUCGUCCAGGAGAUGAGGACGUGUUAAUGCAAGCCACUCAUAUCAUUUUCCUUUUGAGAUUGGUCUUCCGGAGCCUUUCCAAGAGUUUUCGUCAUGCUGUUGAUCUCCAUGGAUGGUUUUGGUGUUUGGUUAGUUAUUCAGUUAGUUAAUUUUGUUGUUUGUUUUGUUUUUCCAAUGAUCAUGAACUGAGACUAUGGAUAUGCUCAGUGGUGGUACUUAAAGUAAGUGGAGGUGUCUGUUGUCCACGUUUUCAUGAGUUUAUUUUUACUGCGCCUUACUCAUGAGUCAACAUGAACAUCUUGUGCUCGUCAACAAUGGACAGCCUUUAAUGUAAAUGAAUUCUAGUUCCAAGCGUAUUACAGAA